Molecule: long non-coding RNA, 413 nt
Organism: Trichosurus vulpecula (common brushtail)
Lineage: Eukaryota; Metazoa; Chordata; Mammalia; Diprotodontia; Phalangeridae
Exons: 3
Source: RefSeq, a predicted model, not a curated record
CGUGUGCUAAAGAGAUCAUCCCUCCGGAACCAGCUUGACACAUUUCUAUCAUUAAUUAACCAACAGGCAGCGAGCAGUUCUUUCUUCAGGCUGUGCCCAGACAGCCCUGAAGAGAUCAUCUCACCUGCCCUCCUUCUCCAAAGAUGGAGCCAAGGGCCACAACCACCACUCUGCUACCUGCCAUGGUCCAGGUCCCACCAGUGGCCCAGCCCUCCCGGGGGGCUGACCGGCCUGCAGUUUCUUGGCAGUCCUCUGGAGGCACGGCAACUUCUGACAAGCCCUUUGACCCAAGCUGACACAUCUUGGCUGUCAGUUUCACAACUUUACCUUUAAAUCCCACUGACACUUGGGUGGACACCUCUUUGGUUCAAUGAUUUAUGUCGCUACUAAGUAAAAACUGCCUGUGAGUUUAA